UACGGGGGGGGCCAGCGUUGUUCGGAAUUACUGGGCGUAAAGGGCUCGUAGGUGGCCAACUAAGUCAGACGUGAAAUCCCUCGGCUUAACCGGGGAACUGCGUCUGAUACUGGAUGGCUUGAGUUUGGGAGAGGGAUGCGGAAUUCCAGGUGUAGCGGUGAAAUGCGUAGAUAUCUGGAGGAACACCGGUGGCGAAGGCGGCAUCCUGGACCAAUAUUGACGCUGAGGAGCGAAAGCUAGGGGAGCAAACGGG
This 253-nucleotide ribosomal RNA is filed under the name uncultured bacterium. Its description in RNAcentral is "partial 16S ribosomal RNA". It matches the Rfam family "Bacterial small subunit ribosomal RNA", at positions 524 to 776 of the family's 1533-position model. The record is from RNAcentral.